RNAcentral lists this ribosomal RNA (425 nucleotides) under uncultured bacterium. RNAcentral describes it as "partial 16S ribosomal RNA". It matches the Rfam family "Bacterial small subunit ribosomal RNA", at positions 354 to 796 of the family's 1533-position model. The record is from RNAcentral.
GUGGGGAAUAUUGGGCAAUGGGCGAAAGCCUGACCCAGCAACGCCGCGUGAAGGAAGAAGGUCUUCGGAUCGUAAACUUCUAUCCUUGGUGAAGAUAAUGACGGUAGCCGAGAAGGAAGCCCCGGCUAACUACGUGCCAGCAGCCGCGGUACUACGUAGGGGGCAAGCGUUGUCCGGAAUGCUUGGGCGUAAAGGGCGCGUAGGCGGCCUGGUAAGUCUGGAGUGAAAGUCCUGCUUUUAAGGUAGGAAUUGCUUUGGAUACUGUCGGGCUUGAGUGCAGGAGAGGUAAGUGGAAUUCCCGGUGUAGCGGUGAAAUGCGUAGAGAUCGGGAGGAACACCAGUGGCGAAGGCGACUUACUGGACUGUAACUGACGCUGAGGCGCGAAAGUGUGGGGAGCAAACAGGAUUAGAUACCCGGGUAGUCC